Molecule: ribosomal RNA, 354 nt
Filed under: Triticum aestivum (bread wheat)
Lineage: Eukaryota; Viridiplantae; Streptophyta; Magnoliopsida; Poales; Poaceae
Description: partial small subunit ribosomal RNA
Source: RNAcentral
AUGAAGGAGCAAAUGGCUAUGUGUUUGAGGUAUCUUGGCAAACGAGGAGAGGUGAUUGAGAGAUUCAUGGCAGUUGAGCAUGUUCCUGACAAGAAAGCAACUUCACUAAAUAUAGCUUUGGAUGGUAUGUUUGCUACUCUUGGCUUGUCUAUGUCUAAUUUGAGAGGGCAGGGUUAUGAUGGGGCGUCAAACAUGAGAGGGGAAUUCCGUGGAUUGCAAAGAUUGAUCUUGGAGGAAAAUCCUUAUGCUCACUAUAUACAUUGUUUUGCCCAUCAGUUACAAUUAGUGGUUGUUGCUGUUGCCAAGUGUUGUUCAUCAGUAAGGGAUUUUUUAAUAGACAAGCAUGGUUGUUAA